UCUCGUUGGCAACACUAAAUAGUAGAAUUUAUUGUUACAUGUCAUCUGACACUGCACAUUAGUCUUGAUUAAUUCCAGGCGACUUAAACGUUAGGUUGUGCUUAUUAACGUACGAGAAAUAUUUAUAGGAUUUUACCAUGUAAAAUAACUUCAUUAAUCGCUCCCACAAAGUGAAAAGAUAUCACAAGAUACAAGUUUUAUGCAUAAGAGUUUAUUUUUCCCAGGAGUAAGAAAUUACGUCUGUAAGCUAUUUUCUUUGAACACUGGAAUUGUUUUGUGUGCAUGGAAUUAUUCUGAACUCGCUGAAUUAACACACGGAAUUUUUAAAGUUACAAUUUAAAUAUAAAUCAGGUUUUGAAAGACUAUUUUUGUUAUUUUCGCUGUGUUUUAUCGCAAGGAGCAAACUGCGUCACAUUUUGUGGAUAACCUUGGAAUGAAUACCUGUAUAAGGAUAUGUAAAUCAAGGUCUGCAGAUGACGCAUAUAGUUGUUGGAUGUAUUAGAGAGUGGAAUGUUAAAGUGAAUUAUGCAGAAUUAUGUAAAGUUUUAAUGGAAUAAGAUCGGAAAGAUAAAUCUAUGCAUCAGAAACUAAACUCUGAGAACUGAAACUUUUCGAACCUAAACCCAAACCUUCUUCUUAGCGAUCUUCCCAUAUUGGAUUAAUGCGCACUUCACUUCACUUGUCCUGUUGCUGCUUGGACAUCAUUUUCACUGUGUUCCUUUCCUAUCACAAUAGUAUUGAAAAAUGUAAAUGUUCUGGAAAUAGGCACGAUUAGAGUGCCAAAUAAAUUGUGGCUUCAAAUGUGAAUUUAAAUAAAAAUGGAAUUUAAUCAGC
Long non-coding RNA from Stegodyphus dumicola, 834 nucleotides. RefSeq lists it as uncharacterized. Lineage: Eukaryota; Metazoa; Arthropoda; Arachnida; Araneae; Eresidae. The record is from RefSeq and is a predicted model, not a curated record.